Molecule: long non-coding RNA, 342 nt
Filed under: Gallus gallus (chicken)
Lineage: Eukaryota; Metazoa; Chordata; Aves; Galliformes; Phasianidae
Source: RNAcentral
CACUUCUGGACGGAAAAUGAAUCGCACACCGCGUUCCUGGAGAAGGAGUCUGGAGGAGAGGAGCAGCUGGCAACCAGAAGUGGCCAUGUGGUCUGAGAGGAGCUGUCUCCAGCAGUGGUGGAGGGUGGAGGCUUGGCGCUGCCUAUCUGUCUGAACCCGUGUCUUGCGUGGAACCCCUGAGUGCAGCUGGGCACCGCUGGCUGCAGGUGAAGCUGCCUCGUGCCCAAGGAUUAUUGGAAAAGGCAUAGCCAGUGCACCAGUCACCACAUGGUCAUCAGAGCGACAGAUCCCCGUGGCUACAAUCUGAUUUAGAAGAAAGGCGAGAACGUUUCAGCAUUUCAC